RNAcentral lists this ribosomal RNA (301 nucleotides) under uncultured bacterium. RNAcentral describes it as "partial 16S ribosomal RNA". It matches the Rfam family "Bacterial small subunit ribosomal RNA", at positions 509 to 809 of the family's 1533-position model. The record is from RNAcentral.
CAGUAGCCACGGGAAUACGUAGGAGGCAAGCGUUGCCCGGAAUUAUUGGGCGUAAAGGGCUCGCAGGCGGUUUCUUAAGUCUGAUGUGAAAGCCCCCGGCUCAACCGGGGAGGGUCAUUGGAAACUGGGAAACUUGAGUGCAGAAGAGGAGAGUGGAAUUCCACGUGUAGCGGUGAAAUGCGUAGAGAUGUGGAGGAACACCAGUGGCGAAGGCGACUCUCUGGUCUGUAACUGACGCUGAGGAGCGAAAGCGUGGGGAGCGAACAGGAUUAGAUACCCGCGUAGUCCCUGUCUCUUAUAA